UACGGAGGGUGCAAGCGUUGUUCGGAAUCACUGGGCGUAAAGGGCGCGUAGGCGGUUUGAUAAGUCAGAUGUGAAAGCCCACGGCUUAACUGUGGAAGUGCAUUUGAAACUGUCAGACUUGAGUAUCAGAGGGGAAAGUGGAAUUCCCGGUGUAGAGGUGAAAUUCGUAGAGAACGGGAGGAAUACCGGUGGCGAAGGCGACUUUCUGGCUGAAUACUGACGCUGAGGCGCGAAAGAGUGGGGAGCAAACAGG
This 253-nucleotide ribosomal RNA is filed under the name uncultured bacterium. Its description in RNAcentral is "partial 16S ribosomal RNA". It matches the Rfam family "Bacterial small subunit ribosomal RNA", at positions 524 to 776 of the family's 1533-position model. The record is from RNAcentral.